GCCUUGUUAAAAGGAAGGGAGUGCUCUGGAAUGUUUCAAAAUGGUUCCUUUUCCCUCUUGCCGGGAGGCUGAGGGGAUUUCUCUUUCAUAUUUACUGUGGGAGUUUAGUCAAGCUCCUGGUGGUAAAUCUCACAGUAUUAAUGACAAAGUCUUCCUUGAGUGUUUAUUUCACUAGUUAUCUGAACAAUUAAAGUUCAAAUUUUCCUACCCAGUGGAGGUUCCUGUGGAGGUUUCUGCUGUGAUUCUCUGUCUGGUGCAUCAUUAACCUGUACAACAAAAAGAAGAAAAGAAAAAAGGUUUCUCUCUGUGGAUGCAGCCCAAGAGGAUUUGGUGAACAGUGACAUCAAAAUGGGGCACAUCUGAAAGGGGAAAGAGUGAGCUGAAUGGGUCCAUUAAUUUAAUUGAAGCAAGCUCAGACAAGAGAUAAAACAUCCCAGCCGGCUUCUUUUCAUGCAUCAUGAGUGCUGUAGUAAACAGGCAGAGAUCCAAACACACCAAAAAGAAAUAAAGGUACGUGGAGACUCUAGAGACUUCAAGGCCAUGUAAUAUCAACAGAUGCAGAGGUGAAUACACCCAGAAGAGGCCCUCUCUUCAUAUACCACCAUGUCACUGUUCUGCGGUCACUGUCUAGGCUUUAUUGUGAAACUCUGAACGACUCUGAGGUUACAUGUAAGUAAUUUAGACUUCCUAAGGCAAAGUUGCGUUUGUUCUUUUUUUUGUUUGUUUUUUUCAAACUUCUGAGAAAUAGACUCCAUCUCCUGUUCUUGAAGAGAUGGAACAGGGGAAAUGGACUUCCACUGAUCUUAGAAGCAGCUUUAAAUGAUGUUGCUCUCUUUCAGCUAUCUGUUUUUGAAAUGUAGCAGUCAGAAAAUUCUUUUAGUCCUGAAGAGGUUGGGGCCUCUCAGUGCACUCAGCAUUUGUCUUUCAGUGGUCAGUGUGAUUGUACACAGCCUAUUAUUCAAUCCCUGGCUGCGCCCAAGAACAGAAAACAACCAAGCAGAGUCUCCCAGUGAACAUAAAGUCUGUCCAUGGCAAGUUAUUUCAUCUGAUAAAAAACAAUUUAGUAUAUUUAAUCAAAAUUAUAUUACAUUCAGAUAUUCAUAAAGUCCUUAAUAUCAUCAUUUAGGGGCAAACCAUGGUGUAUGCAUUAAACAUGAGUGAAUAUCAAACUAAAUAGGUAGUUUUCAUAAAAAUGUUAGAAAAAAAUAGCAUGUAAAGAUGCUGCCAACUAGUUUUCAAUGUGUGAAAAUAAACAAUUUGUAAGAGAAAUAGUGUCUUUUAGUCAAAUUAGAUUCUGCCCAAUAUUAUUAUUUUAAUGGAUGAAUAAAAAUGCUUUGGUGUCUGGGCAUGUAGAUUUAAAAUGAUGAUGAAAUACAGGUAUUUUAACAAUAACAAUGAAGAGAUAUUUUCAGGCCUAUAAAUCAUUAAAUAUUGAAUACCAAUUUUACAACUCAGUAAAAACAAUAGAAAUCCUUAAAAACAAGUAGUUAAAAGAGGCUUGCACUACAGUGAUUGAAAUAAUUGAUUUUUUCAUAUUUUUUUACAGUAUCUAUGAGGCAUUUCAAUUUUUGUUUUAAUUUUCAUAAUUUCUUUAUUCUUCUAAUGAGGACAUUAUUUCCCUUCUUAAACAGAGAAAACAAUUUCUUGUUUUGAAAAUUACUGUGAAAAGAACCCAUGUUUUUCAAAUAAAAUUUUUUGUGGAUCACCAUUGUAUAAAAGAAUUAAAAAUAAUAUUUAUUAUGGAAUUUAUAAUACUUAUUAUGGAAUUUAUUAUGGAAUCAUUUAGAGGCCAACCAUGGUAUAAUGCAUUAAACAUUAGUGAAUAUCAAACUAAUGUACUUUAUGAGUUCAAUAAUAUUAUAAGGGGGGUUCUAGUAAUUUACAUAUAUUAUAUUUGGGUAUAUAGCUUUUCAAAUCAUCAAAAGAAAGGGGUAGCAAACAGAUAAGCAACAGAUAACAACACCAUGCUAUUUUAGACUCUGAUGGGGUUCAACAGAACCCUGUCCCAGAACAAGGGCAGAACUACACAUGCGCAAUGCUGAUGAGAGCAAGUGCACCCGUCCCUUCCGAACGGCGGCUCUCAAAACCUAGAAGCUUCCUUCUCACAGAUGUAAUCACUGAACAAUUCCUGGUAGAUUUAACAGUUGUUUUCUUUACAUAGGUGUUUCCACCUAAGUGUAAGAUUGUUUAACUUACUUCUACUUCUCAAUUUCUUGAGUCACCAGAAAUUAAAAAUGAGAGAACCUCUAUGUAUUCAUCUAAAAAUUACUAUAUAUUUAACAUCUGUCCAACGCUGCAUU
Phacochoerus africanus (Common warthog) is the source of this 2300-nucleotide long non-coding RNA. RefSeq lists it as uncharacterized. Lineage: Eukaryota; Metazoa; Chordata; Mammalia; Artiodactyla; Suidae. The transcript is spliced from 3 exons. The record is from RefSeq and is a predicted model, not a curated record.